GAUGAACGCUGGCGGCGUGCCUAAUACAUGCAAGUCGAGCGAACAGACGAGGAGCUUGCUCCUCUGACGUUAGCGGCGGACGGGUGAGGAACACGAGGAUAACCUACCUAUAAGACUGGGAUAACUUCGGGAAACCGGAGCUAAUACCGGAUAAUAUAUUGAACCGCAUGGUUCAAUAGUGAAAGACGGUUUUGCUGUCACUUAUAGAUGGAUCCGCGCCGCAUUAGCUAGUUGGUAAGGUAACGGCUUACCAAGGCAACGAUGCGUAGCCGACCUGAGAGGGUGAUCGGCCACACUGGAACUGAGACACGGUCCAGACUCCUACGGGAGGCAGCAGUAGGGAAUCUUCCGCAAUGGGCGAAAGCCUGACGGAGCAACGCCGCGUGAGUGAUGAAGGUCUUCGGAUCGUAAAACUCUGUUAUUAGGGAAGAACAAAUGUGUAAGUAACUAUGCACGUCUUGACGGUACCUACUCAGAAAGCCACGGCUAACUACGUG
This 497-nucleotide ribosomal RNA is filed under the name uncultured bacterium. Its description in RNAcentral is "partial 16S ribosomal RNA". It matches the Rfam family "Bacterial small subunit ribosomal RNA", at positions 28 to 507 of the family's 1533-position model. The record is from RNAcentral.